UUGCUGGCCUUUUCAUGAAUAAUGCAAUACUAUAAUUCCUCCUUAAACCACAACCCUCCUUCCUAGGCCAUUGUAAAUUCUUUCAUCUGGGAAUGACUCAACUCGGUUGUUAUUCUAAGUGAUUUUGUGGGGGAUUUUCUUCUAUUAAGUAAUGUAGUCUGCCAUACAUAACUAUAAGAAUUCUAAACUUACUUUGCUAAGCUUGCCCUGAGAUUUCUAGCUCCUAUCCAGUAAAAUACUGCAAGAAAGCAUGCAAGGCCCUCCACACUAUAGCAGGGACAAAUUUGGAGCAUUCAUGCUACUGGAUGCCAAGGCUCCAGGAGACUAAGUUUCCAUGAAACUUUUUGCCUCUGGACUGUGUUCAAGCUUUUGGGCCUACCACGCAGUUUUUUACUGAAGUGGGUGUGGCAUAAACCCCAUUAUUUUACUUUGUUUUUAGUUUUGAGACACAGGCUUACUUUGUAGCCUUGGCUGGUCUGGAACUCACUAUAGACCAAGCUGACCUUGAAUUCACAGAGAUCCUCCUGCAUCUGUCUCUCUCCCAUGUGCUAGGAUUAAAGAAUGUACUACCAUGUCUGGCUAGGAUUUACAAAAUUUAAGAAGCAUUACCAAAUAGUUCAAUCAAACAGCGCCAAAGAGACUGUAAUGAAAGGUCACUGUUCCACUCCUUCAAUGACCAGGGAGACUUCAGCUUUAACUUUGCCUGUGGGUGAUAGUGUCCCUGGAAAUUGGUAUUUAGCUUUUGAGAUUACAACAUACUUUCAAAGAUACAAUCUCAGUUUUUCUUCCCAACCAGUUGGGAAAGUUUUCUUUAGGCUGCCUUCCUGGUCUCAGGUCUUUCCCUCUACCCAACUUGUCUCUCAUCCCAGUGUCAGGAGGUCCCUCUGGGACUCUUGAUCUUUUGUAAGCUUUCCUUGGCUGGGAUGCCCUUCUCCUGGGCCUCUAGGGGGAAUAUAUGAGGCCUCUGACUUCCACAGGCCCCAGACUCACAUGCACAUGCAAACACACACCCACAUACACAUGUACACACACAUGUACUCACAUACUUAUACAUACUACACACAUGCACACAUACCAAUACAUAUACACACAACUCUCACAUGCUUACAUGCCCAUACCAACACACACAUGUAUAUACAACACACAAAUUCCAACACAUGUACACAAUACACAUCACACACACACAUAUUAACACAUACAAGCAUACUCACACUAAAACACACAUUCAUGCACGCAUGCAUGCCUGCACACACAUACACACACCACAACUUGCACAUACACGAACACACAUAUGCACAUAUACACAUAUAAACACACAUAUAUACACAAAGUAAAAAAUCUUUCGAAUUAACAUAAGAGCCAGUGACUAGAGAUGGAGAGGACGGGUCUACAGGGAAAGCACCAGCUGCCAGUCAGGAGGACCAGAGCUCACCUCCCCAGAGCAAUUGCAAAGCUGGACAGGCACCACCAUCUUGUUUAUGAAGUGUCCAUAAUUAACAUGCUUUUGUGUUCGUUGGGAAGGGUUUUUAAUUUAGAUCUGUGCAUAGCUUGGUCUGUAUCUAUUUCUGCAGAUCAUAUAACCUAGCCCUUCAAAACAUGUGUAUGGUAGCCCAUGUCUACCAUAAUCCUGGGGAAUUAGUCAUAACUCCUUCUCUCUGCCCAUGUACCUCUUUCCCCAGAUUGCCUCAUCUCAGAGAGGCUCUACCUACUUCCUCAUUUUUUUAAAAUUAUCAUUUUGUUGUUAGUAUGUUAUUUGUCUUUGAGACUAUGUCUUGCCUUGUGGGUCUGGUUGGCCUGGAACUCACUGUGUAGCUCAGGCUGGUCUCAAACUAGUGACAGUCACCCUGUAUCAGGACCCUGAGUUCUCAGAUCACAGAUGGUCCUUGUGACCAGCUCCAUGUCCAUCUCAGUCCCUGCCACAGCCUGGUCUCUCGGCUUCUUGUCUUGCUCUUCCUGCCCUCUCUGUUGCCCCUGAGGCCUCUUUAUUUACAAAACUCUCACAGUGUACCUGGUGCAAAUGGAAGGUUCUAGUAAAUUUCACAGUGCUCAGCAAACAGUUCAUUCUGAGAUCUGGCUCCCCCAACCCCCACUUCUGAAACCUCUUCUCUUUCCUUCCUAAAUUCUGCCAGUGUCUUGUUAGCUGUGUUAACUUGUCUGCCCCAGUUUUCCUCCAUCUUUUCUCCAGGCCCCGCAGGGCUGUUCUGUAGGCUCUGUUACCUGCCCUGAACUAACUCCUACUGACUCUUCAGGCCUCAGCCUCAUAGACUUGAAGGAAAUAAGGCUAAGACAUAUAAGAUGUCAUUGCUAGCCUUUAUUAUAUGUGUGUAUGUAUACAUGUGCCUUUAUUAUAAUAUGGAAUGCCAACAAUCCAGCAAUCAUUCGUCAAAGAAGAAUUGUGGUCCUGAUCAGUUACUGGUUAUGAUAGAGCUGAUCCCAGGUGAGCCUACGACAGGGCUUUUUGCAGAGCCAACCAGCCAGUCAGUAUUUCCAUCUUUUGACAAAAGGUCAGAAGGUUCCAUGAGAAUGCAGGCUCACUGAUGAUGAUGGCCAGUCUUGGUUAUCAACUUAACAGGGUCUGGAAUCAAGUAACAGGCAAGAUGAGACACUCCUGUGGAGAAUUUUCUUGAUCAGGUUAAUUGAAAUCGGAAGACUCAUCCUGAACGUGGAUUUCACCUUCCGUGGCAACUCAGCUCAGAUAGAAGGAGGUUCGAGAGAGUGCUUUUGUUUGUUUGUUUGUUUGACCCAGUCUCCUUUGAGUAUUGCUGGGGAGAUUAUCCACCCCAUUUGGGAGCUUGGCCAUAGUGCUGUCAUCUGUGUUCCUUCACUGACAUCAGACGCCAGCCUCUUCAGCCUUCAGAUAGGGACUGUAGACUAGAGGCUCUCCAGGAAUCCUCCAGAGUUUCAGCACCAGGUUGAGAUUGCUGUGGUGAGCCUUGUGGACUGAGCAGCUACUGAGUAUCAGUCUCUCGAGGGACACAACCAUUGGAGUACCCACAGCAUACAGGAUGAGCCAGCCCAAUUCCCUGUGGUAGAUGUUCACUUUAUCUGUUUUGUUCCUCUAGAGAACCCUGGUACCCAGAUAUGUCAUUAUGCCACUUGCCCAGUACCAUGAGGGCGAAGCCAUGCAGGGGGCCGGAGACAGUGUCAGAGAGGAAGUGAGGUAGAGCUGACACUAGCAAAGUGUUUGAAGGGUAGAUGGGGUGCAGGAGAUAGGAGGACAAGGAAACAAGGAGGCAUGCCAUUUCAAAAGAGGAAGCAGGUACUGAGCUGUGUUAAGCCUGCCUUACUCACUGUGACCCGGGUACAGCAUGCUUGGUGUAUACAGUGUGCACACUAUCUACAGUGUAUACACUUCCUCUCUGCCUUGGAGGGUAGGUGGGUGGGAAUUGAGCAUCUCCAGCACCUGCUUGAUGCUUGCACCUUUAUCCUUCAGCAAGUUGAAAACACCUUCUCUGACCUUCAAAUGCUACUAGCUCUCUAGAGCUGCUUUCUCUCUGGAGCCAUUCUGACCUUUGUACCAAAUAAAUGGGCAUCUAUUUUUAUUUUGGGCCAUUUUUUUUGUUUGUGAGACAAUGUCAUGUAGCCCAGGCUAGCCUGAAACUUGCCUUAUAGCCAGAAAUAAGCUUGAAUUUAUACUCCUCCUACUUCUGCCUCUGGGAUUGGGAUGAAGGUGUUCUUGUGUCUGGUUUUAUGUGGCUCUAAGGACAGAACCCGGGGCGCUGAGCAUGCUAGACAAGCACUCUGUCGAUGUACCCUCAGCCCAUCCUGUUUUGUCUGUUACCGCUCAAGAUUUCACGAUAAAUCCCACCUUCCCCUUGAAGACGGGGAAGGUGAUUUCCAUUCGCUUUUCAGUUCCUCCAGUCGUCAAGUCCCAAAUCCCAGUGUGGCCAGGCAGUGCUCCCUGAAGGGAGUGUCUGUCAGCCCGAGUCCUGAGCACCCAUGAAUCUAAUGGCAAACAGUGGCUUCCUUCCAUCUGCAUGCUGUGAUGUUUACUCAUGGGCUGUGGUGUCACUUAAAUGCUGCUGUCCUACAUCUCUGACUUUUAGAGAAGUGAUGAGUAAUAAUUUUACAGGAAUUUAGAGAGGAUGCCCAUUCAAAGGCCCUGGCGCUAAUCAACUUUUGUAUUUACUGUUAAUUAACUUCUUGUCCAUGGAAAGUUGUUGCCAUCUGGGAAGACUUGGACUUAGUAGAUAAAAUAAGUCCUUGUUCUGCUUUGCUGAGUCCCAGCCUAUGACACUAGACAAGCUAUUUAUGUACUCUGUGGACUUGUAACUACAAUUUUCUGCAUUAAAAUUACUUUGUUUUUAAAUGCGUGUUUGUGUGUGUGUGUUUGAGAGAGAGGAGGGAGGAGAAGAGGGAGAGGGAGGUGUGUACAGGUACCCAAGGAGUCCCAGGAUGGUGAGCAUAGGGGAGAUGGCUUAGCAGGCAAGAACACUUGCUGUUCAAAUACUCAGCAACCAUAUAAGAAGGCUGGCAAGUCCUUCAGGAACCCACAGCCAAGUUAAGCAUGGACUAGAAAUCCCUUGAGCCACCAGCUGCUUAGGUCCUCUGUCCCUGGUGUCAUCCAAGUGGCUCAAGCCUGGCCCAGUGCUUGCCCCUCCCAUGUCACUGUUUCCUUACAUAUCCACAUCCACACCUGACCACAGCUGGAGACCCCAGCUUUGCAAUCAUGUGAUUGGUCUGAAACAUUGUUUCUGUCACCUGACUUCCCAGCUAGUGUCUGGAGCCCUUGGAACUCCAGUGUAAUCUCUAGGGUACCCACCAUCAAGCCCUACCCCCCUCCCCAAGAAGUCACAUGUGGUCACACAAACCUGUAACCUCGGGUACCUCUUGGCUGUGAGCAGAGACAGGUGGAUCCCGGGGCUCAGUGGCUGCCAGCCUAGCUCCACAUUCAGUGAGAAACUCUGUCUCAAGGGAGCACCCAUGAAUCUAAUGGCAUCAGAAAGUGAAGCAGGCUACCCAAAGCUUUUCUCUGGCCUUCACACAAAGUGCACACAACAUUGUGUGUGUGUGUGUGUGUGCGUGUGUGUGUGUGAGUGAUGUAUAUCUACAUGCACAAAUAAGUAAACAGUUUAGAGAAUAACAGCUGGUGAGGCUGUUUAAACUAUAAAGAUUAAAUGUGGAAUAGAUAUGAAGUUAUUGGUAAUAUGUGACAUGUAAGCUGUCCAUUAAAAGUCAGAGAGUUUUAAUCUUUUUAUAGACUAAUGCUGUCUUUUUUCUGUUAUAUUCCCAACAUUCAGACUUCACAGAGAGGUAGGGAAAGAUCUUUCAAGGCACCAAGGUUCAUUCUUCCAUCUGUGAGCGCCUAGGGGAGGGUCUAGAAUUGCCUCCUCAGGCAGCUCUCUCUCUCUCUCUCUCUCUCUCUCUCUCUCUCUCUCUCUCUCUCUCACACACACACACACACACACACACACACACACACGUCAGAAUUGCAGUGUCUGCCUCACUCAAGGUCACAAGGCCAUCAGGGCAGGUGUGGGAGACAAGAUGCCUGGUCUUCCUGUGAUGCUACCUGUGAAGUAACAGCAGCGUGGGCAGUUGUCCAGACCAACCCCAGAACAUUAAUUAGCUUUGACAGAUUCUAAAACCUAGGCUGCCUCCUUCAGAAAUAGGGAACUGCUUGGACUUGUCGGGAUUGGAUGGUUGGCAGCACCAACACAGAGGCAGACCCCAGAGCUGACUCCAGAAGCAAAGGGAACGAAGACUAUGAAGAGGAACAGUUGUGUCUGAUAGCAGAUGCCACAGAGGCCAGGCCUCAGACCCUGCUGGUGGUACAGCCCAAAGGUGCAACCUGGGGAACUCACCUAGUGUCUCCUGAGCCUCUGUAAAAUGAGAGUUCUACUACUUAAUUUUUACUUUUAUUUAAGAAUUACAUUUAUAUGAAAGAAUUUCACAAGUAGAAGAAAACUACCUGAUUAUGAAAUGGUUGUGAAUUCAUCUAUCUGACAUAAUUGGCAUAAUUACUUGGACACCACAUGGUGUGUGCAUCCCUGGGCCUCCCCAAAGCUUUUUUUUUUUUUUUUUUCUGAGACAGGGUUUCUCUGUGUAGCCCUGGCUGUCCUGGAACUCACUCUGUAGGCCAGGCUGCCAGGCUGGCCUCGAACUCAGAAAUUCACCUGCCUUUGCCUCCCAAGUGCUGGGAUUAAAGGCGUGCGCCACCCCGCCCGGCUUCCCCAAAGCUCUUAAUGAAAGCCCAUGCCCUGCAAGAUGCAGCAUAGCCCCUGUGUGUGGUGUGUGUGUGCACACACGCGCGCACACACACAUGUGCACACGCUUGUGUUCAGGCCAGAGGAAGAAAUCCUCUUUGCCAUCCCUGAGGUUACAGGGUAUAGGGCCAAGUCUAGCUGUCAUUUCUACAUCUGUCUUGUCUGUCUUGUCUGUCUGUCUGUCUGUCUGUCUGUGUAUCUGUUUAUGAGGGAGCACACAUGUGGAGGUCAGAGAACAAGGAGUCAGUUCUCUCCUAUUACGUGGGCUCCGACAGUUAACUCAGGCUGUCAGGGUUAGUGGCGAGUGUUGCCAUCUCUGAGCCUCAAGCCUGGUUUUCUAAUUUAAACCUUGGAGAUCUGAACUCAGGCCCUGGUGCUUGCACAGUGAGGCAUUUACUCACUGAGUAGCCACCCAGUCUACCACGGAGCUGCCUUUAAAAACUAAAUCAACAACAAAAAACCUGGGUUUCACUAUGUAGCCUUGGCUGGCCUGGAACUUACCAUAUAGAGCAAGCUGGCCUUGAACUCUCAGAGACCUCCAUGACUCUGCAUCCCAAGUGCUGGAACUAAUGCCAUAUACUAUUGUGACACCUCUACAUGGCUUUUUAUAAUUGUCAGACAUGACUACUGCCACAGCUCAGAGAGGAAGUAAGAACUUUCCUUGGCUACAGCAGCCUUGACGCUGGCAGCUUGCAGCUCAGCUAAGAUUUCCCAAGGGCCUGAAUGAUAGCUUUGCUCUACCCAGCCCAAACCAUGAACCCCAGUGUACUGGCUGGUUUUGUGUGUCAACUUGACACAAGCUGGAGUUAUCACAGAGAAGGGAGCUUCAGUUGAGGAAAUGCCUCCAUGAAAUCCAGCUGUAAGGCAUUUUCUCAAUUAGUGAUCAACAGUGGAGGGCCCCUUGUGGGUGGGACCAUCUCUGGGCUGGUAGUCUUGGAUUCUGUAAGAGAGCAAGCUGAGCAAGCCAGGGGAAGCAAGCCAGUAAGUAACAUCCCUCCAUGGCCUCUGCAUCAGCUCCUGCUUCCUGACCUGCUUGAGUUCCAGUCCUGAUUUCCUUGGUGAUGAAUAGCAAUGUGGAAGUGUAAGCUGAAUAAACCCUUUCCUCCCCAACUUGCUUCUUGGUCAUGAUGUUUGUGCAGGAAUAGAAACCCUGACUAAGACACCCAGCUUACAUUGAAGCCCCAUGGGCCAC
RNAcentral lists this long non-coding RNA (7398 nucleotides) under Mus musculus (house mouse). RNAcentral describes it as "long non-coding RNA chr1:191246960-191254358". The record is from RNAcentral. Lineage: Eukaryota; Metazoa; Chordata; Mammalia; Rodentia; Muridae.